RNAcentral lists this unclassified non-coding RNA (213 nucleotides) under Paracoccidioides brasiliensis. The record is from RNAcentral. Lineage: Eukaryota; Fungi; Ascomycota; Eurotiomycetes; Onygenales; Ajellomycetaceae.
UCAACCCUCAAGCGCGGCUUGCGUGUUGGGCCCGCGUCCCCCCGUGGACGUGCCCGAAAUGCAGCGGCGGCGUCGCGUUCCGGUGCCCGAGCGUAUGGGGCUUCGUCACACGCUCUCAGAGGCCCGGCCGACUCCGGCCCCACUCAUCGACCCCGGCGGGGGGGAAAAAGGUGUCCUCUCUCGAUCGACACCCUUCCCCCUUGCCGACCAAGG